This is a long non-coding RNA of Aethalodelphis obliquidens (Pacific white-sided dolphin), 1264 nucleotides long. RefSeq lists it as uncharacterized. The transcript has 4 exons. NCBI's taxonomy places the organism in Eukaryota, Metazoa, Chordata, Mammalia, Artiodactyla, Delphinidae. The record is from RefSeq and is a predicted model, not a curated record.
GAAGCCAUUCCUCACCACCAGGAGUGCAUGUAAAGGAGGGCUGCCUGCCAGCCACGGUAUUCGGGAAAUUCAAUUCACUUGUAAUUGAAUCCCCAGCGCAACACUCCAAGUGAUGGCAGAGACUUUCACGCAGACACCAAGACCACCAGACAUGACAUCCUGGGUCAGUCCUGCAGACCCUUCACUGCUUCUUGGAGGGUCCCAUGAAUACUUUGAGGACUACCAGGUGAUAUAAUCUCUGCCACCCCAGCCAGAAGGAUGACUCUGAAAUGUCAUUUCCCCAACAAUUCUCCUUUUUUCAUUGAGGCUUUUUUCAAGUCUUUGAAGCAUUAUUAAAUGAUCCUACUAUUGAUUUUCCGUGCCUCAGUCCUGGUGAAAAUGGAGUGACUUGGACCACUAAUGACUGAAGUCCACUCAUCGUCUGAAGGACAAUCACAAAGGCUGGAGCUCAUUCCUGCAAGCAUCCUCAUAACUUAGAUUUCAACGCCUGGAAAUAGGACAGGUAUGGUAAUCCUGAAGUAUUUGGGAGUGAAAUGUCAAGAUGUCUACAACUGUAAAAUGGUUCAGCAUAAAGGAUGAGCAGAGAGAAAGCAAGUAGGGGGCAGGCUCUGGGGGCAGAGUCUGUAGGUCUGAAUUGUGUCUUGCCCACUUAUUGAUUGUAGUUUGGGUAAUUAAUCUCUCUCUACCUCAGCUUAAUUAUCUGUGAAAUGGAAGUAAUGGUGGUAUAUAUUCAAUAGAGAUGUUGUGAGCAUUAAAUGAGGUAAUUCACGUAAAAUACUUACAGUGGUCACUGCUUUGUCAUAAGCCUUCAAUAAAUGUUAUUACCUCUGUUGGCUCCAUUUUGUAGUUGAUGUAAGUUGAGACUCAGAAAGGUGAUAUAACUUGUUCAGUCACAUAACUGGCUAUUGGUGGUUGGAGCUAAAAGAGCUGGAGCUGUCAGGAAGCUCUCCUACUAGUAAACAGCAACACACACACAGCAGCCCUGUUUACAAGAGCAAAUAUUUGAGACAAUCCAAGUGCCCAUCUACUGUAGAAUGGAUUGCUAAAUUAUGUUACAUUUCCCUACUAGAACCCUAUACAGCCAGGGAAAGGAAUAAGACAAAUUAACAUGAAGAGUAUCAAAAAAUUGAAAUAAGUUAAAAGCUUUUAUUUUAUCCUUAAAGAUUUUAGCUGCUCUAGCAACAAAAGGACUGAUUAACUCACUAAAACUACCAUGAAGGGCUUCCCUGGUGGUGCAGUGGUUGAGAGUUCGCCUGCCGAUGCA